GACGAACGCUGGCGGCGUGCCUAAUACAUGCAAGUCGAGCGAAGUUUUUCUGGUGCUUGCACCGGAAAAACUUAGCGGCGAACGGGUGAGUAACACGUAAAGAACCUGCCUCAUAGACUGGGACAACUAUUGGAAACGAUAGCUAAUACCGGAUAACAGCAUUAACUGCAUGGUUGAUGUUUGAAAGUUGGUUUUGCUAACACUAUGAGAUGGCUUUGCGGUGCAUUAGCUAGUUGGUGGGGUAAAGGCCUACCAAGGCGACGAUGCAUAGCCGACCUGAGAGGGUGAUCGGCCACACUGGGACUGAGACACGGCCCAGACUCCUACGGGAGGCAGCAGUAGGGAAUCUUCCGCAAUGGGCGAAAGCCUGACGGAGCAACGCCGCGUGAGUGAAGAAGGAUUUCGGUUCGUAAAGCUCUGUUGUUAGGGAAGAAUGAUUGUGUAGUAACUAUACAUAGUAGAGACGGUACCUAACCAGAAAGCCACGGCUAACUACGUGCCAGCAGCCGCGGUAAUACGUAGGUGGCAAGCGUUGUCCGGAAUUAUUGGGCGUAAAGCGCGCGCAGGUGGUUUAAUAAGUCUGAUGUGAAAGCCCACGGCUCAACCGUGGAGGGUCAUUGGAAACUGUUAAACUUGAGUGCAGGAGAGAAAAGUGGAAUUCCUAGUGUAGCGGUGAAAUGCGUAGAGAUUAGGAGGAACACCAGUGGCGAAGGCGGCUUUUUGGCCUGUAACUGACACUGAGGCGCGAAAGCGUGGGGAGCAAACAGG
This 768-nucleotide ribosomal RNA is filed under the name uncultured bacterium. RNAcentral describes it as "bacterial SSU rRNA". It matches the Rfam family "Bacterial small subunit ribosomal RNA", at positions 28 to 776 of the family's 1533-position model. The record is from RNAcentral.